This 439-nucleotide ribosomal RNA is filed under the name uncultured bacterium. RNAcentral describes it as "partial 16S ribosomal RNA". It matches the Rfam family "Bacterial small subunit ribosomal RNA", at positions 339 to 795 of the family's 1533-position model. The record is from RNAcentral.
CUACGGGGGGCAGCAGUGGGGAAUAUUGCACAAUGGGCGAAAGCCUGAUGCAGCAACGCCGCGUGGAGGAUGACACAUUUCGGUGCGUAAACUCCUUUUAUAUAAGAAGAUAAUGACGGUAUUAUAUGAAUAAGCACCGGCUAACUCCGUGCCAGCAGCCGCGGUAAUACGGGGGGUGCAAGCGUUACUCGGAAUCACUGGGCAUAAAGAGCAUGUAGGCUGGAUGACAAGUUGGAAGUGAAAUCCUAUGGCUUAACCAUAGAACUGCUUCCAAAACUGUCUUCCUAGAGUAUGGGAGAGGUAGAUGGAAUUUCUGGUGUAGGGGUAAAAUCCGUAUAGAUCAGAAGGAAUACCGAUUGCGAAGGCGAUCUACUGGAACAUUACUGACGCUCAGAUGCGAAAGCGUGGGGAGCAAACAGGAUUAGAUACCCUGGUAGUC